GAUGAACGCUAGCGAUAGGCUUAACACAUGCAAGUCGAGGGGCAGCAUGGUCUUAGCUUGCUAAGACUGAUGGCGACCGGCGCACGGGUGCGUAACGCGUAUGCAACUUGCCUCACAGAGGGGGAUAACCCGUCGAAAGACGGACUAAUACCGCGUACACUUGGGAUAGGGCAUCCUGACCCAAGGAAAUGAAAUUCGCUGUGAGAUAGGCAUGCGUCCCAUUAGCUAGUUGGUGAGGUAACGGCUCACCAAGGCGACGAUGGGUAGGGGAACUGAGAGGUUGAACCCCCACACUGGUACUGGGACACGGACCAGACUCCUACGGGAGGCAGCAGUGAGGAAUAUUGGUCAAUGGGCGAGAGCCUGAACCAGCCAAGUCGCGUGAAGGAUGACUGUCUUAUGGAUUGUAAACUUCUUUUAGACGGGAAUAACAGGAGCCACGUGUGGCUCCCUGCAUGUACCGUAUGAAUAAGCAUCGGCUAACUCCGUG
This 490-nucleotide ribosomal RNA is filed under the name uncultured bacterium. Its description in RNAcentral is "partial 16S ribosomal RNA". It matches the Rfam family "Bacterial small subunit ribosomal RNA", at positions 28 to 507 of the family's 1533-position model. The record is from RNAcentral.